This 410-nucleotide long non-coding RNA is filed under the name Olea europaea (common olive). Its description in RNAcentral is "long non-coding RNA (OEUR_LNC015047)". The record is from RNAcentral. Lineage: Eukaryota; Viridiplantae; Streptophyta; Magnoliopsida; Lamiales; Oleaceae.
UGGCAACCCAAAGAAUAGAAUAGUAGAGGUAAAGUCAUAUUUAGAAUCAAUAUUAGAGUCAAACAAAAGAUUAAACAAAAUCAACUUCGACGUGAAAUCCAUGUGGAUUAUUUGGCUUAGGUGACAACACCAUAGAUAAAUCCUCCUCCCUAUCAAAAAACUCAAUGGGAACAACAAUAGAAACAUUAUUAUCUUUACAAGAGUAACACAACUAGACUUGGGAGGUAGUUGUUGGGACUCGAGCGAUAGACCUAACCUAUGACAUAAUUAGCGAAGAUAGAACGAUUUGUACCAAAGAUUGGCCUGCUAAUGAGCGUCAUCUAUCGGAGUGCAGGAAUGUCAUCAAAUAAGAUUUCAAGAUUCAAAUCAUUAAGAAAUUUAGAUGAACUGUGCAAUAACUCUUCGAAGUA